UACGUAGGGUGCGAGCGUUAAUCGGAAUUACUGGGCGUAAAGCGUGCGCAGGCGGUUGUGCAAGACAGGCGUGAAAUCCCCGGGCUUAACCUGGGAAUGGCGCUUGUGACUGCACGACUGGAGUGCGGCAGAGGGGGAUGGAAUUCCGCGUGUAGCGGUGAAAUGCGUAGAUAUGCGGAGGAACACCGAUGGCGAAGGCAGUCCCCUGGGCCUGCACUGACGCUCAUGCACGAAAGCGUGGGGAGCAAACAGG
RNAcentral lists this ribosomal RNA (253 nucleotides) under uncultured Tepidimonas sp. RNAcentral describes it as "partial 16S ribosomal RNA". It matches the Rfam family "Bacterial small subunit ribosomal RNA", at positions 524 to 776 of the family's 1533-position model. The record is from RNAcentral. Lineage: Bacteria; Pseudomonadati; Pseudomonadota; Betaproteobacteria; Burkholderiales.